UCCAAAUACCAUGGACCAAGGGUGAAGCAGAAACAUAAUAUAACAAAAAGGGCUCUGGAUUCGGUGGGGCAUGAUAUUAUGAUUUAUCUUUUCGAUAUAUAGCUUCAUUAAAGUGAAACAACAAUUUGAAGAUAUUUUGAUUCUGCCACAAUGGCAGAUUCAAUCUAGAGUGAUAUAAUGACUUCAUAUCUCAACUAAUCAUUUCGCUUCAAAGGAGCUCAAUUCAAGCGUUAUUAGAAGCAGAACAUGUUGUGUUCUUCCUAACCAUAUGAAGAAGUUGGUUGACGUUGUCACAUGCACUAUCGAAAAACCAAUGAUUCCAAAAGAAAAACCAAUUGAGGAGGAGAUUUGAAAUCUCAACGCAUGGACAGAGUCAAAUUUCAUAUAUAAGAAUUUAAUUAUGAAUGAACUUACUGACGAAUUAUAUGACUACUA
This is a long non-coding RNA of Cucumis sativus (cucumber), 435 nucleotides long. RefSeq lists it as uncharacterized. The record is from RefSeq and is a predicted model, not a curated record. The transcript has 2 exons. Lineage: Eukaryota; Viridiplantae; Streptophyta; Magnoliopsida; Cucurbitales; Cucurbitaceae.